AACGAACGCUGGCGGCAUGCCUAAUACAUGCAAGUCGAACGAGAUCUUCGGAUCUAGUGGCGCACGGGUGCGUAACGCGUGGGAAUCUGCCCUUGGGUUCGGAAUAACGUCGGGAAACUGACGCUAAUACCGGAUGAUGACGUAAGUCCAAGGAUUUAUCGCCCAAGGAUGAGCCCGCGUAGGAUUAGCUAGUUGGUGAGGUAAAGGCUCACCAAGGCGACGAUCCUUAGCUGGUCUGAGAGGAUGAUCAGCCACACUGGGACUGAGACACGGCCCAGACUCCUACGGGAGGCAGCAGUAGGGAAUAUUGGACAAUGGGGGCAACCCUGAUCCAGCAAUGCCGCGUGAGUGAUGAAGGCCUUAGGGUUGUAAAGCUCUUUUACCCGGGAUGAAAAUGACGGUACCUACAGAAUAAGCUCCGGCUAACUUCGUGCCAGCCGCCGCCGUAA
RNAcentral lists this ribosomal RNA (449 nucleotides) under uncultured bacterium. RNAcentral describes it as "partial 16S ribosomal RNA". It matches the Rfam family "Bacterial small subunit ribosomal RNA", at positions 29 to 523 of the family's 1533-position model. The record is from RNAcentral.